CAUAUAUACUAGUCUUGUCUAGAAGAUGACGAGUGGCGGACGCGGUGAGUAAUGCUUGGGAACUUGCCUUUGCGAGGGGGAUAACAGUUGGAAACGACUGCUAAUACCGCAUAAUGUCUUCGGACCAAACGGGGCUUCGGCUCCGGCGCAAAGAGAGGCCCAAGUGAGAUUAGCUAGUUGGUAAGGUAACGGCUUACCAAGGCGACGAUCUCUAGCUGUUCUGAGAGGAAGAUCAGCCACACUGGGACUGAGACACGGCCCAGACUCCUACGGGAGGCAGCAGUGGGGAAUAUUGCACAAUGGGGGAAACCCUGAUGCAGCCAUGCCGCGUGUGUGAAGAAGGCCUUCGGGUUGUAAAGCACUUUCAGUUGUGAGGAAAAGUUAGUAGUUAAUACCUGCUAGCCGUGACGUUAACAACAGAAGAAGCACCGGCUAACUCCGUGCCAGCAGCCGCGGUAAUACGGAGGGUGCGAGCGUUAAUCGGAAAUACUGGGCGUAAAGCGCACGCACGCGGUUUGUUAAGCUAGAUGUGAAAGCCCCGGGCUCAACCUGGGAUGGUCAUUUAGAACUGGCAGACUAGAGUCUUGGAGAGGGGAGUGGAAUUCUAGGUGUAGCGGUGACAUGUGUAGAUAUCUGGAGGAACAUCAGUGUCGAAGGCGACUUCCCUGGUCAAAGACUGACGCUCAUGUGCGAAAGAGUGUGUA
Molecule: ribosomal RNA, 704 nt
Filed under: Alteromonas macleodii
Lineage: Bacteria; Pseudomonadati; Pseudomonadota; Gammaproteobacteria; Alteromonadales; Alteromonadaceae
Description: bacterial SSU rRNA
Rfam family: Bacterial small subunit ribosomal RNA
Source: RNAcentral